RNAcentral lists this long non-coding RNA (381 nucleotides) under Setaria viridis. RNAcentral describes it as "long non-coding RNA (SVIR_LNC006847)". The record is from RNAcentral. Lineage: Eukaryota; Viridiplantae; Streptophyta; Magnoliopsida; Poales; Poaceae.
GAAGGUGAGCGGUUCCAGAGAGUACAACAAGUCCACCAAGUUAACAAAUUACCCACUGGAUUUAGUUGCGGAAAGAAUAUCAGAGUUUUACACGAUUUCGGAAAACAACAGAAGGUAAAACACUAGCGGAAGCAAUCGUCGGGGUCGGAUGUCCUGGUGAGGCCAGCCGGGACAUCACUGAUCCCUCUCCUCGCCGUCCGAGGAGGGAUCCCACUCGACCGUCCAGCCCGGCGGGAGCUGGGGCGGCCAAGCGCCAGCAAGAGAAGGGUCGGGAGCAGCAGCUUCACCUGAAAAACAGGAGCCACAACAAGGCUGAGCUACUAAGCUCAACAAGACUUAACCGAUAGGAGUAAAACCACUCCACACUUCUAGACAUGCAGG